Long non-coding RNA from Trifolium pratense (red clover), 1594 nucleotides. RefSeq lists it as uncharacterized. The transcript has 5 exons. Lineage: Eukaryota; Viridiplantae; Streptophyta; Magnoliopsida; Fabales; Fabaceae. The record is from RefSeq and is a predicted model, not a curated record.
UUCAUUAAUUAAUUAAUUUGUUCAUUCCUCUUCAUUCAUCCCUUACGCGAAGCCAAUUGCAAAAACGAGAACGCGUAUAUCUUCAUUCCCAAAUCGCCAAAUCCCUAAAAAUCCCAAAGCGCCAUCUUCAUUGAAUCCAAUCAUUCCCAAUUUCUUCAAUCAUUCUCCAAUCUCUUCGCUUUCAUUCGUUUUGAUUCGGUUUCAUUCUCCAAACCCUAGACGGCCGACCCCUUUUUCAUUCGUUGUCAACGAUUUCAUCCCGUCCUCGAUUCCCUUUUGUUCGCCGUCAACGAUUCCCUUCCAUCAACCUUCAGUUCUCAUCACCGUUGAACUCAAGCCGCCGUUUCUUCGAUUCUCAUCAUAAACCCAGUCGCUGUUUCGUCCAUUCUCUAGUAAUCUAUAGCUAAGGUACAGAUUGGUAUUGAAGGUUUGUGUUUGAUGAAGAUUGAGAAAGAUUGCAAAAAAUAUAGGCUCAUGGUGCAUUGAUGAUAGUGUAUAUAAGAGGUAUAAUAUUAUCAAGGUUUGUCUGUGGGAAAUGGAUUCUAAACUGAAAUUAUCAAAGAGACCUAUUCUUGGUAUAAAGGUUUGGGCAAUAAUUUCAAUUUUGGUUCGUUUGUCAACUAUAAUUCUCACUGUUCUUUGACUGUUUUACUUCAAGAAAGAAAUCUAGAAAAGAAAAUGAACUUGGUGAAGGCUGGAUAUGGAGUGGUUUAUUAGGGACAGUUGAUCAAUGGGAGUGCAUUAACAGUUAAAAAGAUACUCAAUAAUAUGGACUUGAGUUGUAUGGUGAUACAAGAUUUUUGCUUUAUGGGCCUCCAAGUUGUGGUAGAACACAAAUUGCCAAAACUGUUACCAAUGAGGCGGGAUCUAAUUUCAUUUAUAUUAAGUUCGUGGCUGUGAAGUGAAGACUGCUACAUAACUCAUCAAGUAGCCACUCAUCCAAAUUAGCUUAACUCAGUCAACUAUCUCUAUGCUUAAAUUAAAUGAUGGUAAUGAUACUCUUUGUUUUGUACGCUUCUUUGGAAAUUAUGGACUGCUAGAAACAAUGCUGUGUUUAAUGGUAUCUGGCUGGACCCUGUUCGGUUGGCUGAGGAGGCCAUGUCCUUUGUCCAUGAAUUCAAUGCGGCAAAUCCUACACGAAGGGGACGAAUUUCUAGCUCUCUGGCCAAUAACCUUUAUUGCAGUGGAACCAGUCAUGGCAGAGGCGUUGGGAAUUAGACGGGCCUUUCAACUUGCUCGGGAAAGGUCUAAACUCUUUCUCUAUUUUUUCUGACGCAGCAAAUGUGGUGGACUGCAUCUAUAACAAGGUGAAAAUUGCAGCCAUUGAAAUGGUGGUCCAAGACUGUAGGGAGGUGUUGUAUGGUAUGUCAAAUGUUAGUGUCUUGUUUGUUGGUAGAAGUCUUAAUGUUGAUGCUCAUAACAUGGCCUCUUUGGUAGAAGUCUUGUUUGUUGGCCUAAUUAGGAUGGUUUUAAUGAUAAUGUUAAGUAUUGACUUUUAAUGUGUUGAAUGUAACUUUGUUAGCUUGUUAAUUAGGAAUUGACAAUGACUUGUGGAAAAUAAUAUUCGGAAUUAUGUCAAUUUUCUUGUGCGUUA